GGGCACUAACCACAUUGGCUUUUUCCAACUUUUGCUUCUGUGUUACCUUAAGCAAUUGUCUAUGUCUUCUGCUUCUUCUGUUCCCUCUUCUUUCAACUCCAAAAUGGGAGUGGAAAUGGAAUCAUACUUUGAAUUUCUUGUUAUUAUUUGAUACCCCUUUAACCCCUUUUCUUUCUUUUUAUCUUAUUUCCUUCCAAAAACAUGACUUUCUUGUUCUUUUCUGUUGAGUUUCUUU
Molecule: unclassified non-coding RNA, 235 nt
Filed under: Hevea brasiliensis (rubber tree)
Lineage: Eukaryota; Viridiplantae; Streptophyta; Magnoliopsida; Malpighiales; Euphorbiaceae
Source: RNAcentral